AUUGAACGCUGGCGGCAGGCCUAACACAUGCAAGUCGAACGGUAACAGGAAGAAGCUUGCUUCUUUGCUGACGAGUGGCGGACGGGUGAGUAAUGUCUGGGAAACUGCCUGAUGGAGGGGGAUAACUACUGGAAACGGUAGCUAAUACCGCAUAACGUCGCAAGACCAAAGAGGGGGACCUUCGGGCCUCUUGCCAUCGGAUGUGCCCAGAUGGGAUUAGCUAGUAGGUGGGGUAACGGCUCACCUAGGCGACGAUCCCUAGCUGGUCUGAGAGGAUGACCAGCCACACUAGAACUGAGACACGGUCCAGACUCCUACGGGAGGCAGCAGUGGGGAAUAUUGCACAAUGGGCGCAAGCCUGAUGCAGCCAUGCCGCGUGUAUGAAGAAGGCCUUCGGGUUGUAAAGUACUUUCAGCGGGGAGGAAGGGAGUAAAGUUAAUACCUUGGCUCAUUGACGUUACCCGCAGAAGAAGCACCGGCUAACUCCGUG
RNAcentral lists this ribosomal RNA (490 nucleotides) under uncultured bacterium. RNAcentral describes it as "partial 16S ribosomal RNA". It matches the Rfam family "Bacterial small subunit ribosomal RNA", at positions 30 to 507 of the family's 1533-position model. The record is from RNAcentral.